UGGGGAAUAUUGGACAAUGGGCGAAAGCCUGAUCCAGCAAUACCGCGUGUGUGAAGAAGGCCUUAGGGUUGUAAAGCACUUUCAAUUGGAAGGAAAAAUUCGUGGCUAAUAUCUACGAACUUGACAUUACCUUUAGAAGAAGCACCGGCUAACUCCGUGCCAGCAGCCGCGGUAAUACGGAGGGUGCAAGCGUUAAUCGGAAUUACUGGGCGUAAAGCGUGCGUAGGCGGCUCGUUAAGUCAGAUGUGAAAGCCCUGGGCUCAACCUGGGAACUGCAUUUGAAACUGGCGAGCUAGAGUUUGAGAGAGGUAAGUGGAAUUUCAGG
RNAcentral lists this ribosomal RNA (325 nucleotides) under uncultured Methylobacter sp. RNAcentral describes it as "bacterial SSU rRNA". It matches the Rfam family "Bacterial small subunit ribosomal RNA", at positions 355 to 673 of the family's 1533-position model. Lineage: Bacteria; Pseudomonadati; Pseudomonadota; Gammaproteobacteria; Methylococcales; Methylococcaceae. The record is from RNAcentral.